GUUCGGUCUGUAUCCGGUGUGGGCGUUGGAGUGUUGAGGGAUGUCGUCCGUAGUACGAGAGGACCCGGACGAAGCGACCUCUCGUGUCCCGGCUGUCCUGCCAAGGGCAACGCCGGUUAGCGAUGUCGCGCGGGGAUAACCGCUGAAUGCAUCUAAGUGGGAAACCCUCCCCAAGAUGAACACUCCCGGGUCGCGAGACCCCUGAAGGGCCGUGGGAGACUACCACGUUGAUAGGCGGCAGGUGCAAGGCGCGCGAGCGCUUCAGCCGAGCCGUACUAAUUGCCCGUGAGGCUUGAUCUCU
RNAcentral lists this ribosomal RNA (301 nucleotides) under Gemmatimonadota bacterium. RNAcentral describes it as "bacterial LSU rRNA". It matches the Rfam family "Bacterial large subunit ribosomal RNA", at positions 2629 to 2925 of the family's 2925-position model. Lineage: Bacteria; Pseudomonadati; Gemmatimonadota. The record is from RNAcentral.